RNAcentral lists this ribosomal RNA (253 nucleotides) under uncultured bacterium. RNAcentral's name for it is "partial 16S ribosomal RNA". It matches the Rfam family "Bacterial small subunit ribosomal RNA", at positions 524 to 776 of the family's 1533-position model. The record is from RNAcentral.
UACAGAGGUCUCAAGCGUUGUUCGGAUUCAUUGGGCGUAAAGGGUGCGUAGGCGGCGCGGUAAGUCGGGUGUGAAAUCUCGGAGCUUAACUCCGAAACUGCAUUCGAUACUGCCGUGCUUGAGGACUGGAGAGGAGACUGGAAUUUACGGUGUAGCGGUGAAAUGCGUAGAUAUCGUAAGGAAGACUAGUGGCGAAGGCGGGUCUCUGGACAGUUCCUGACGCUGAGGCACGAAGGUCAGGGGAGCAAACGGG